This is a long non-coding RNA of Trematomus bernacchii (emerald rockcod), 1627 nucleotides long. RefSeq lists it as uncharacterized. The transcript has 4 exons. The record is from RefSeq and is a predicted model, not a curated record. Lineage: Eukaryota; Metazoa; Chordata; Actinopteri; Perciformes; Nototheniidae.
AUUCAGGAGUGAAGCUGCUGAGAGAUCUUCUGGAGAGUCCAGACUGCAGACUGGAGACUCUCUGGAUCAGAUAUUAUGAGACGAUCAGAGCCAAGAUCCAGAAGACCUCUCCAGUUUCCUUCUCACCUGAACACACAUCUGAAUCUUCAUAGAGGUCCAGGAAACAUUGGGAAAUGUUCCAAAGAAAGGUGGCCUUUUCCAAACAGAGAGCAGCGAACGCAUCACUGGACAACAGAGAACCUGAGACUCUGAUCCACCGUGCAGGAACCCUUCUCCGUGCCCAUCUCAACAAGUGCCCAUCUCAACAAGUGCCCAUCUCAACAAGUGCCCAUCUCAACAAGUGCCCAUCUCAACAAGUGCCCAUCUCAACAAGUGUCCUCAGGCAGAUUACACUACACUUCUACACAUUCACUUUUAUCCAAAGCCACUUGCAUACAUACUCCAUACUGCGGACAAUCGACAUGCUGACUGCAGUGGGGAUUGAACCAGUGCUCUCCUGAUCUGAAGACCAGCACACUAACCCACUGAGCCACAGCCUCAUAAUCCUGCGUGUGGAUGGGAUUCUGUUCUGCCUGUAAUCAAAGCACUAAGGUUCUCUUGGAAACGCUAACAAUCAGAUAAAGAUCAGAUAAAGGCCAAGAAGAAGAUGGUGAAAAUAUUUGUACACUCUUGAACUUCUUUGUGUUUUUCAUCGCGGGUUGAUUAAUGUCCAAUCAAAUGUUUCCUUUGAUUUAUAACACUUGUAAAAGGAGCUCUGCUGGUAUCAGUGAAACUGUGGUAAUAAGGUUUAGGAGCAUGAAGUCUUUAUGAGAUGUGAUCAGAUAUUGUCGUAACCUUUAAGAUGUGUUGUGAUGACUUUAAAAUGAAAUGCAUGUGUAGCUGCAGAGAGUGGACUCAGGUUACUGACGGGGUCUGUGUGCAGAGGAAGAACUGACCCUGGGUCAGCAGAGGCUCUGCAGUGGACAUGCUUCAGAUGCUGAUGUGGAGACGCCUCGUACAGUGUGGAGUCUAUUUUUAUAUAACAUUACAAGACUGAUUCUUAUUAUUACAUUAUUUGCUUAUUGUGCUCAUUUAUGUGCUGUGACUUAGGAAUAAAUAGACCCAAUCACCCCCCCCAAGUUUUGAUGAGGAGGACAGGAACGAAGGGAAAAGUUACAUGAGAAAGUGUUUAGCUUGCAAUAAUGAAAGUAUCAAGGUGGAGACUGAGAGAACAGAGAGGUAGUCAGAACAGCACAUCGCACCGGCCUUGAGUCUGUAUGGGAGCCGCGCUCCCCCGCAGAGCUAGGAAGCAACAUUAUGGUUUCCCGCUAUAUCUGAAGAAACGUUAGAGAAAACAAAUUAGUAUGAUGGUGCCAGAGUAGGGAGGGACUUCCACAGGCCGGCCGAAUGCUGAUUGGAGAAUCGUGUUGCCAAGAGACCCUAUCUGAGUCUGUGCACCAACCAAAGAGAACCAAGUCUAAACCAUGGUAUCUCUUCAGCUAGUCUUGACCAAUCAUGAAUGUACGGCAACGUCCUGUGUAAUAAAAUGUAUUGUUGCACGAGGUUCUUGACCGGAAAUAGACUGACAGAUUAUAGCUUUGCUGCCUGUGUUUUCUAGGACGUGACGGAGUCCUUGGCCAAGUGAUAU